AGGGACAGGAGGGAAAAUAAGUGGGAAAAUUUAGAGAGAGAGACAAACCAUGAGAGACUUCUAACUCUAGGAAAUGAACAAAGGGUUGUGGAAGGGGAGGUGGGUGGGGGGUUGGGGUAACCGGAUGAUGGGCACUAAGGAGGGCACUUGAUGGGAUGAGCACUGGGUGUUAUAUGUUGGCAAAUUGAACUUCAAUAAAAACAAAUGAAAAAAUAAAAAAAUAAUUUUAAAAAUGUUAGAUAAUAAUAAUGAAAAAAAAGGAUGUUGCAUGGACCAGCAGCAUCCCAUUACCCAGGAGCUUAUUAGAAGAUCAGAAUCUCAGGCCCUGUCCCAAAUUCACUGAAUCAAGACCAGCACUUUAGUAAGCCCCUCCAGGUGGUGCAUACUCUCAUUAACUCUUAAGAAUAACUUAUCUGGGUGGGUCCCCGUACUUCUCAGCUGAAGACCUGAAGGUCAGGGGCAGUACACUUGUAUAAGUAUUGCCAUUUAACAACACAGUGAAAGGAUCAGAAUCUAAUCUCAUGAGGCUAGGCCGAGGUUGUUUCCACUAAAUUGCACUUCUCUGAACUAUUCUAACACACACACACACACAGCCACGCACACUCACCCCUUCCUUUCUCCAAAGCCCCACCAAUGAAACUUCAUGAUUUACAAUCGAUCCCAUUUUACAGGAAGCCAUCUGUGGCAAACAGACUCAUAUCUGUCCUUGCUCUCUUCUCUUUUAGGCGACAUUAGGCCACGCGUCUCUCUUCUUCCCCAAGUCUACUUCUCCCAUCCGUAUUGGGAAGUCCAUCCUCCUCUACCUCCUCAGGAAUUUAUACUCAAAAAGGAAACCUGACUAGAAGAAAAACUUCAAAAGAGCCAUGGUGUUCUUUCUCAAUCAGGAGAAUAACUGUGAGACCACACUAUUCAAGAGAGAUGCCUCAGUAAAAAGUAACAACAGAAGUGAAAAAAGAAAGAGAAAAGCAUACAGAAGCCAUAAGAAGCAAACAAAGGAGGUGAGUGGAGGGCUACAUAGCCCAAGGCAGAAAAUUUUCCCUGGGAUGGAUUCAUAUUAGCAAUAAUGCUGAGCCCCGCUGUACUACAUGUCUGCAGAUCAGUGGCUGUGUUGUUCACUCAUCAACAGGUGAGUAUACCCAACCCCACAUCUAUUAUCCAGCCCCUACUGGCUGAGAAGGGCCAGAAAGAAUAGAAUGGAAGCAUGCUUUGCAAGUUGGAAAGGGAUGCACUCAGGUAAGGGCUUAAGAAACCAUACAAGUUUAACAAAGGAAAAAUCUAUCACCUUACAUUUCAGGUUCAAAUUCUGAAUUGCUUUAUCUCAGGACCAUUGUUGAACUCCAUGGUUAACUUCUAUAUUGAAUCUUGAAUUAGUCAUUAAGAAAAAAAGCAAUUGACUUACAGAAGACCUAUAUGUAAAUAUGGUAUUGUUCUGUGUGCAAUGUAUGGUUUACAAUGAGACUGAAGAGUAUAGUAGGUUAUAUCUGUUCUUUAGGAUAAUAUAGACUGUGGUGAAAUACUCAGCAUCCUGGAACUCAUGUAUUUACUUGUGAAAUUAGAAUACUCUAUGCAUCUCAGAGAAUUUUUGUAAAGGUCAAUUUAGAUGAAUACGAGAAACACUUUGCAGGACACUUGGUGUGUGCAGUGGUCAGUGAGCAUUGCUAUUAACAGGAGUAGCAGUGCUAAUAAUAUUGUAUGAAGUAUAUAGAGUAAGGGAAAAACAUAUACUGUAUUAUAUGAUUCAAGGGCCUUUCCCAUUAGUAAGAGAUAAGAUAUGCACAGACAAAAAUAGGCUCAAUUGACAUGGCAUUGAUUAUUGAAGCCUUCAGAAUGGAUGAAUUCUUCACAUGAAGAAAUGCCAGAUAGAAAACCGAGCACUACAUCCUAGGAAUUGCUCAGUGUGAAGAGAGGAGAACAAAAAUCAGUUAUAAAUGGAAGAAGUCAACCUAGAUAGGUCAGUUACAGAGGCCUAGAAAGAAGAAGAUUUAGACAGAAGGUGUGAAGAGAGUCAGAAAAACACAGCUAAAUAAAGAGGAUUGAAAAGGUCCUGUAGUUUUAAACCUAGCAAGGAAUUUUAUUUGUAAGAAACAUGUCAUAAGGUAUAUUUUUGUAUAUUUUUAAUUUAAAAGGAUUGUCUCUGUGGGGUUUCUGAGGGGCUCUAUCAGUUAAUCAUCUGCCUUUGGCUCAGGUCAUGAUCCCAGAGUCCCAGGAUCCAGUCCUGCAUCAGUCUCCCUGUUCAGUGAGAAGUCUGCUUCUCUCUCCACCUUCCCCCAUCUUCUGCUCUCUCUCUCUCUCUCUCUCUCACUACUCUCUCUUUUAAUCUCUCUCAAAUAAAUAAAACCUUUAGUUGAAAAAAAAAGGACUGUCUUUGUUAUGAAAACUAAGCUGCGUAGAACAUGGUGAACUUUGAAAGAGAAUAGUUCACCAAUUUAUAUAAAAUUAAUUUUCUUUAGAACUUAAUUCAUUACAAUAGAACUUAUGAUAAUGAUAAAAAAAACCUCAGCAUUUCAUUAUAGGUGAAUGGAUAGAUGAAUUAGAGUGUCUCUCUCAUUGGACGGUUAUGCGGCCAUUUCCAAUAAUGGUGUAACAUAACAAUGUAAGAUUCAAAUGCACACAUAUAUAAUCAGGUACAUAUAUGUAUGCAUAUGUAUAAUAAAAUAGAACACAUUGCAGAGUUAUCAAUGAGAUAAGAAAUGUUUCUUUCUAUGAAUUUGUAAAAUUUUCCAAGGCUUCUAAAUUCAUGGGUUCUGGUAAUAGUAAGAAAAAGAGUAUUUUUAAUUAAACUCAGCAGCACCACUCACAGUAAACUUGAGUCAAUGGAAAGGCUAUAUGGAAAUUACAUUUCUCAAACGUCUGCUGCAGGUCUGUGAUUGAAAUUGGACAAAAUUAGACCGAAACAGUUUUUUAAGGACAGUAUGAUCCAUACCUUCCAAAUUCCCUGCAAAAGACAACUCAAUGGCUUUCACAAUCAGUAAAGCAAAGAUGUUAGGUGAUUCCCUGAAAAGCUUAUCCCGCACGUGAUGAGGGGGUGGGAGGGUGUGACUGUGACACAGAUAAAAGUUGCCUCCUGUUCCCCAGUAUUCAUGUCCACACCCUGCUUACUCACAUAAAACCAUCAGCAAAACCUUUUACAUGAUUUAGGUGCAGAGAUAUUCAGAUCUAUAAUAUUAAAACCACUAAGAUUUUAUAUUUUCUGAAGUAACAAUUUAUAACUCACACAUAUUACUUUUUACUUCAAGUACUUAGCUGUAUAUAUAUCCACCACAUUGGAAAAAAAUUACUCUGUGCCCCAAUUUUAUCACAAUAAGAACUGAAUAACUUAUAAGCUCAGUGUUCUCUGAUGAGUUAUGAACAAGUUCGCCUUUCUGAGAAGAAAAUUAAAUUCCUAUUGCAUCUGGAAACUCUUGCUAAAAUAUUUUAUUACUGCUGUUAAGAGGUUUAAAAUAAUGGAGGCAGCGUUAGAGUAAAUAUACUAUCUUCAUUUUCUGUCUCUUUAAUUGUUGAAUUGUCUAUUUUAGCACCAGAGUUUCAUGGUUUAUUUAAUGUCAAUUCACAAAACAGAAGCUAAG
Molecule: long non-coding RNA, 3566 nt
Filed under: Canis lupus familiaris (dog)
Lineage: Eukaryota; Metazoa; Chordata; Mammalia; Carnivora; Canidae
Description: lncRNA (ENSCAFG00030011614.1)
Source: RNAcentral